UCCUGGUUAGCUAAGUUUGUAGAGCGCUCCGCUGGAAAUGGAGGAGUCUCUGGUUCGAUACCAGAACCAGGUA
Ixodes scapularis (black-legged tick) is the source of this 73-nucleotide non-coding RNA. The record is from Rfam. Lineage: Eukaryota; Metazoa; Arthropoda; Arachnida; Ixodida; Ixodidae.